UACAGAGGUCUCAAGCGUUGUUCGAUCGAUUGGUGCGUAAAGGGUGUGUAGGUGCGCCGUAAGUCGGGUGUGAAAUUUCGGAGCUUAACUCCGAAACUGCAUUCGAUACUGCGGUGCUUGCGGACUGGAGAGGAGACUGGAAUUCAUGGUGUAGCAGUGAAAUGCGUAGAGAUCAUGAGGAAGACCAGUGACGAAGGCGGGUCUCUGGACAGUUCCUGACACUGAGACACGAAGGCCAGGGGAGCAAACGGG
RNAcentral lists this ribosomal RNA (252 nucleotides) under uncultured bacterium. Its description in RNAcentral is "partial 16S ribosomal RNA". It matches the Rfam family "Bacterial small subunit ribosomal RNA", at positions 524 to 776 of the family's 1533-position model. The record is from RNAcentral.